This 1550-nucleotide ribosomal RNA is filed under the name Escherichia coli. RNAcentral's name for it is "partial 23S ribosomal RNA". It matches the Rfam family "Bacterial large subunit ribosomal RNA", at positions 331 to 1869 of the family's 2925-position model. Lineage: Bacteria; Pseudomonadati; Pseudomonadota; Gammaproteobacteria; Enterobacterales; Enterobacteriaceae. The record is from RNAcentral.
AGUGGAAGCGUCUGGAAAGGCGCGUGAUACAGGGUGACAGCCCCGUACACAAAAAUGCACAUGCUGUGAGCUCGAUGAGUAGGGCGGGACACGUGGUAUCCUGUCUGAAUAUGGGGGGACCAUCCUCCAAGGCUAAAUACUCCUGACUGACCGAUAGUGAACCAGUACCGUGAGGGAAAGGCGAAAAGAACCCCGGCGAGGGGAGUGAAAAAGAACCUGAAACCGUGUACGUACAAGCAGUGGGAGCACGCUUAGGCGUGUGACUGCGUACCUUUUGUAUAAUGGGUCAGCGACUUAUAUUCUGUAGCAAGGUUAACCGAAUAGGGGAGCCGAAGGGAAACCGAGUCUUAACUGGGCGUUAAGUUGCAGGGUAUAGACCCGAAACCCGGUGAUCUAGCCAUGGGCAGGUUGAAGGUUGGGUAACACUAACUGGAGGACCGAACCGACUAAUGUUGAAAAAUUAGCGGAUGACUUGUGGCUGGGGGUGAAAGGCCAAUCAAACCGGGAGAUAGCUGGUUCUCCCCGAAAGCUAUUUAGGUAGCGCCUCGUGAAUUCAUCUCCGGGGGUAGAGCACUGUUUCGGCAAGGGGGUCAUCCCGACUUACCAACCCGAUGCAAACUGCGAAUACCGGAGAAUGUUAUCACGGGAGACACACGGCGGGUGCUAACGUCCGUCGUGAAGAGGGAAACAACCCAGACCGCCAGCUAAGGUCCCAAAGUCAUGGUUAAGUGGGAAACGAUGUGGGAAGGCCCAGACAGCCAGGAUGUUGGCUUAGAAGCAGCCAUCAUUUAAAGAAAGCGUAAUAGCUCACUGGUCGAGUCGGCCUGCGCGGAAGAUGUAACGGGGCUAAACCAUGCACCGAAGCUGCGGCAGCGACGCUUAUGCGUUGUUGGGUAGGGGAGCGUUCUGUAAGCCUGUGAAGGUGUACUGUGAGGUAUGCUGGAGGUAUCAGAAGUGCGAAUGCUGACAUAAGUAACGAUAAAGCGGGUGAAAAGCCCGCUCGCCGGAAGACCAAGGGUUCCUGUCCAACGUUAAUCGGGGCAGGGUGAGUCGACCCCUAAGGCGAGGCCGAAAGGCGUAGUCGAUGGGAAACAGGUUAAUAUUCCUGUACUUGGUGUUACUGCGAAGGGGGGACGGAGAAGGCUAUGUUGGCCGGGCGACGGUUGUCCCGGUUUAAGCGUGUAGGCUGGUUUUCCAGGCAAAUCCGGAAAAUCAAGGCUGAGGCGUGAUGACGAGGCACUACGGUGCUGAAGCAACAAAUGCCCUGCUUCCAGGAAAAGCCUCUAAGCAUCAGGUAACAUCAAAUCGUACCCCAAACCGACACAGGUGGUCAGGUAGAGAAUACCAAGGCGCUUGAGAGAACUCGGGUGAAGGAACUAGGCAAAAUGGUGCCGUAACUUCGGGAGAAGGCACGCUGAUAUGUAGGUGAAGUCCCUCGCGGAUGGAGCUGAAAUCAGUCGAAGAUACCAGCUGGCUGCAACUGUUUAUUAAAAACACAGCACUGUGCAAACACGAAAGUGGACGUAUACGGUGUGACGCCUGCCCGGUGC